GAAAUGCGAUACGUAAUGUGAAUUGCAGAAUUCCGUGAAUCAUCGAAUCUUUGAACGCACAUUGCACUCUAUUUCGGUAGAGUAUGCCUGUUUGAGAAUCUAUUAAAUUCUUUUACCAUAAUAUUUUUAUUUUUAUAAUUGAAUGUUCAUGGUAAAGAUUUGAACUUUUCUCUACUAUUUUUAACGAAUAGUUGGAGUGGUUUUAAAUAGAUUACCUUUUUGUUCAACAACUUUUAUAUUGAAUAAUUUGACAAAUAGUAUUUGCAUGAACCGUGGUUCUAACUUUUACUUUGGUCAUAUUUUUUAAUUAGUUGGGCGAAAAUGGUUCAACCUUUUUUUUAUAACAUGGUCUCAAAUCAGGUAGGAAUACCCGCUGAACUUAA
RNAcentral lists this unclassified non-coding RNA (383 nucleotides) under uncultured Chytridiomycota. RNAcentral's name for it is "sequence contains ITS1". The stretch from base 1 to 101 matches the Rfam family "5.8S ribosomal RNA", at positions 50 to 154 of the family's 154-position model. Lineage: Eukaryota; Fungi; Chytridiomycota. The record is from RNAcentral.